UCAUCAUUGCUUUACUCUCUUCGCUUCUGUUGUUCCAAUUUUUAUCAGUCAACGCGGUAGCACAGACCGUCCCGUGUGUCCGGAUACGUUGCAAGAAGUCGACUUUAAGUAAGUUAUCUGUCAGUCAUCAAACAUCUACAUUUUCUCCGCGUCUGUCCGAGCAACACGUGAUCCUUCGGCGCACAGUUGAUUCUCACUGAAGCCAUCUGGCUGUCUGCCAGUGGAGAGAUUUUCAUCUUACAGCAAAGAUCUGUGACUGGGCUGAAAAUAAGAGCUCCCUUUGGCAGGCACUGCUGCUGCCACCCAGUGGGAGCCAUGAAAAUAAGCACUGAGCAGAGCCUGCAGCCUUUGGCCAAGCCUGCAGUGGGUUUACUGACCAGGACCAUCCCAGGAGCUGCAUUGUGUCUCUGUUGCAGCAGGAUGUUCUCCAUUCCACAGCUGUGCUUUCCUGUUGACAUCUCGUACCUCACCAGGCGGAAUGAAUCCAUCUGGCACUAGAUUAAAAAAAAAACUGUUACUGAGUUUCCAGAAAUGUAUACUGUACAACAGCCUGCAGACUGUAGUGUCUUUCACUGACACUUUGUUUUUUUUAGCCUAUGCGAAGCUAUGUUGUCUUUGUAAAAUGUAAAUUAGUAUUACAAAGCAUUCCUGCACAUAUAGUGUACUGUACAUGCUGAUUAUGUAAACUAGAUGUUAUUUAACUACAGUGACACAACAAACUUGCACUGUAACUGGUGCUUGGCUUUGUAUACAUACAGUACAUCAUAGCCAAAAUAAGAGACUUUUUUCUUUUUUCAUUAUAUUUCUGUCUGUAUAUAAUUCACACCUGAGUACAGGGCAUGGUUCUGUGCCUGUUCCUCCUCCUGUAAAGCUGCUCCAACACAUCCUGGUCAGGCACUGCCUGUGUGUGGAUGGGCUGGCACAGCAGAGUCACACACACCACCAGGAUUUGUUGACUGUGUGGAGGCUGGCCCAUAAUGAAGGCAUCGUACUCCAGGUCUGUUACCACUGGCAUCAGCGUAGCGCUGCAGCAGCACCGCCUGCGUCCACCCUCCCCCAGCAGGGCAGCUCUCAGCAGAGGAGGGCACACUGUGAGGGGGUUGGAGGGAGUGAAGGAUGGCAGGGCUGGAUAGCGGAUGACAGCAGAGGGCUGCAAAUCUGGACUGUUUGGAAUAAUCACUGACCUGGCAGGGUGGGGGUGACAGUGAAUCAGUCACUGUAAAUAUACUCUUGCUCUUAUAAAACUGCAGUAAAUGUUAUUUUCUACACAAAGACACUUGAAUGACUUUAUAAUGGUCAUGCCUGUCAGUAAUACAAGUGGGUCUUACUCAAGUUUGAUGUUGCCAUGAAUUUGAAGAGGUCCUAUCUGUGUGACAUGGGUCUCCUCCUUUGUUCGCUUUUUUGGUGUCCUGGCAACAUACAGGUCAAAACAGGCCUUACAUAAUGCAGCAUACAUCUGUGCAAAGUCUAGCUGAGCUCAAGCACUUCAAACUGAUCAAUAAACAAAGUGUUUCUGUCACUAUUACAAAAUCAAUCACUGGCCUCCGUUUAAGGACAGACAGGAGGACACCUAUGCAUGUAAGCACUUCCUCGUUUACAUGCAUUUGCUUAUAAAUACUCAAAAACAUGGUUUCAACAGUGUAUAAAGUGUUAAGUGUUACAGUGUGUUUGAAGAUAAAAUGCCAUUUAAUCUCUCCACCAUGAACUAUGUACUCUAAACAUUUUAUAUUACAAGAGUAUUUCAGUGAUUUAGUAUUGUAGUUUGAUUAAAGGGGAUUCACAUGAGAAACAGGCUUGUUAAUGCAACUUAAUAGUGUCUUUCUCUUGAACCUGUCUACACGGUAAACACUCAUGUGGGGCUAAAGGAUUUGAGGGAAAUAUCUAAUAGCGUUUUUUCUGA
This is a long non-coding RNA of Micropterus dolomieu (smallmouth bass), 1900 nucleotides long. RefSeq lists it as uncharacterized. The transcript is spliced from 3 exons. Lineage: Eukaryota; Metazoa; Chordata; Actinopteri; Centrarchiformes; Centrarchidae. The record is from RefSeq and is a predicted model, not a curated record.